RNAcentral lists this ribosomal RNA (819 nucleotides) under uncultured Actinomycetes bacterium. RNAcentral's name for it is "bacterial SSU rRNA". It matches the Rfam family "Bacterial small subunit ribosomal RNA", at positions 71 to 867 of the family's 1533-position model. Lineage: Bacteria; Bacillati; Actinomycetota; Actinomycetes. The record is from RNAcentral.
AAAGCCCUUUCGGGGGUAAGUAGAGUGGCGUCCGGGUGAGUAACACGUGGGUAAUCUGCCUUCGGGUGGGGAAUAACUCAGGGAAACUUGAGCUAAUACCGCAUAAUGCAGCGGCACCUAAUGGUGAUUAGUUGUUAAAGCGGGGGAUCGCAAGACCUCGCGCCUGAAGAGGAGCCUGCGGCAGAUUAGCUAGUUGGUGAGGUAACGGCUCACCAAGGCUUCGAUCUGUAGCUGGUCUGAGAGGACGGCCAGCCACACUGGCACUGACACACGGGCCAGACUCCUACGGGAGGCAGCAGUGGGGAAUUUUGGGCAAUGGGCGAAAGCCUGACCCAGCAACGCCGCGUGAGGGAGGAAAUCCUUCGGGAUGUAAACCUCACAAGCAAGGGAAGAGAGCUAUGGGCUGAAUAAUCCCAUAGUGCGACGGUACCUUGCGUAAGCCACGGCUAACUACGUGCCAGCAGCCGCGGUGAUACGUAGGUGGCAAGCGUUGUUCGGAAUUAUUGGGCGUAAAGGGCGCGUAGGCGGUUUGUUAAGUCGGCUGUGAAAGCCCGGGGCUCAACCCCGGAGGGUCAGCCGAUACUGGCAGACUAGAGUACGGAAGAGGUAGCUGGAAUUCCCGGUGUAGCGGUGAAAUGCGUAGAUAUCGGGAGGAACACCUGAGGCGAAGGCGGGCUACUGGGCCGAUACUGACGCUGAUGCGCGAAAGCCAGGGGAGCGAACGGGAUUAGAUACCCCGGUAGUCCUGGCCCUAAACGAUGGACACUUGGUGUGUCGGGUAUUCCAGUCCCGAUGUGCCGGAGCUAACGCGUUAAGUGU